RNAcentral lists this ribosomal RNA (666 nucleotides) under Triticum aestivum (bread wheat). Its description in RNAcentral is "partial small subunit ribosomal RNA". The record is from RNAcentral. Lineage: Eukaryota; Viridiplantae; Streptophyta; Magnoliopsida; Poales; Poaceae.
AUGCAAAAGGCAGAAAGAAACCGUUUAAGGCUAAAAGCAUCUGUUGUGGUUGUUAGGUUGCUAACAUUUGGAUCUUGCGCUUUUAGAGGACAUAAUGAGAAAGUUGAGUCAAGGAAUAAAGGAAAUUUUCUUGAAUUGUUAGAGCUUCUCGCAGCGUUCAGUCCUGAUCUUGCCAAAGUCAUUUUGGGGAAUUCUCCAUACAACUCAAAGUACACGUCUCCGGAUAUUCAAAAGGAAACCUUGUCCAUAUAUGCAUAUAAAGUUAGGAGACAUAUCCGUGAAGAAAUCGGGGAUUCUAAAUUCUCUAUUCUAGUGGAUGAGACAUGUGAUGUGGCGAAAAGAGAACAAAUGACACUGGUUUUUAGAUUUGUUAAUGAAGCUGGCUUUUCACAAGAGCGGUUAUUUGAUUUGAUACAUGUGGCCAACACUAAGGCCAUGACAUUGAAAGAUAAAUUGUGCUCUGCAUUAUCACUAAAUGGUUUUGAUAUUCAGAAACUUUGUGGACAAGGAUACGAUGGGGCUAGCAACAUGAGAGGAGAACUGAAUGGAUUGCAAUCUUUUUUUUUCCUGAAGGUGUGCCCAUAUGCAUACUACGAUCAUUGUUAUGCUUACAGACUGCAACUUGCACUAGUAGAUGCAUCCAAAGAGGUGGUUCCUAUUGCCUAG